UUGAUUGAAACUCUUUUUACAAUUAUUUUCCGCGUAGAAAAUCGCACAUACCAAUAUACUAAUAAGUAAUUAAGUAUUGUUCUCUUGAGAUAUUCGGCUAUAUUUUGAACAUCAACAUCAUGUCAAUUUUAUUGACAGUUACAUGUUGUUAUUUUUUUUUCGUAUACUAAUGGACACGGCUUAGGUUUGUAGAAACUGUUUAUUUUCCUUUUCUCAGUAUAUUGACAAUAUAUAGUAAGCUUAAUAAUAUACACAACCUUAUAAGUUAUCCUUACAAACCGCAGUGGUCAAGACUGCCGGUCAUCCUAACCAGUGGCAGAGCUAUGUGGUGGGAAGGGGACAGUGGAGGAGCUAGCCAAAUU
Molecule: long non-coding RNA, 362 nt
Filed under: Brassica napus (rape)
Lineage: Eukaryota; Viridiplantae; Streptophyta; Magnoliopsida; Brassicales; Brassicaceae
Description: long non-coding RNA (BNAP_LNC002718)
Source: RNAcentral